AUGGCAGCGGCGGAGAAGGAGGGGGAAGCGCAGAGGCUGCGGUUCGGACAGUGGCUGCUGAACGCCAUCAGCAGCGGGAACUACCGGGGGCUGCGCUGGAUCGACUCUGCCCACACCAUCUUCCGCGUCCCCUGGAAACACAACGCCAGGAAAGACAUCACCAGCAGUGACCUGGAGGUCUUCAAGGCCUGGGCAAAGGUCAGUGGGCGCUAUGAGGAAGGCUCUGAGGACCCGGCCAAGUGGAAGACCAACUUCCGUUGUGCCCUGAGCAGCACACACAUGUUCAAGCUGGAACAGGACCAUUCCAAGCGUGGUGAUGACCCCCACAAGGUUUUCUCCAUUGUCUCAGCCACCCUCCAGCACAGCACGGAGGGAGAUUCCAGCAUCCCAAACCCUGUGGUGGACGAGCAGGCAGCACAAGAGCAGCUGCAGGUAGCUGGGUGGGCACAGCAGGCCAGGCUGGAGCUCCACUCCCAAGACAUGGCCUCAGCAAUCGCUGUGCCAGAAAGCACCGACCCCACACAGCUCAAGACUCUGGAGGACCUGCUGCAGCACUGUGACAUCUCUCCCCGUGUCCUUGGCCCGCUCACUGCACCCUGGGUGCCCACAGGUGGCUUCUCUGCAGGGAACACUCCCCACCAGGACAUUGUGCUCCAGCCUCACCAGGACAUUGUGCUCCAGCCUCACCAGGACACCCUGCUCCAGCCUUACACAAACACCAGCCAAAACAGCUGCUUCCCUCCCACGACAUUUCCACAAUGGGUGCCCACGGUGGAGCAGCCCACCUUGGACACCUACCAAGCAACGGGCCUCAUGCCACCACAAGAGACAGGGGCCGUGCCAGCACCAUGUCACCUGAUGGAGGGCACGGUCCCCAUGCAGUACGCGGCGGAGGCGACGUUGUUCGUGCCUGCCGCCAGUCCUGUGCCACAGCCACGGCUGCUGCUGGAUAACACAGAUGGCAUCGUCUCCAUCCUGGAUGUCACCAUCUACUACCGGGGGAAGGAGUUCCACCGGGAGGUGGUUGGGGGCAGCCGCUGCCUGCUGACGUACCAGCCCCCCAGUCUGCCGGAGAGCCCGUGCCCCUGGCACGUGGUGCACUUCCCCAGCCCCGCCAGCGUGGCCGACAGCAAGCAGCGGCGCAUCACCGAGGAGCUGCUGGGCGUCGCGGGGCUGCAGCUGGAGCAACGCGCCUACAAGGUCUUUGCUACCCGCCGGGAGAAGUGCAAGGUGUUCUGGGCCUUGUCCCAGCAGCUCGAGGGGGUUGAGGAGCCUCCACCCAACCUGCUCUACCGGGACCAGGAAACGCCCAUCUUUGACUUCAAUGAGUUUUGCACAGAGCUGAGGGACUUCCGCAAUGGCCAAAGGCGGCGAUCCCCCGACUUCACCAUCUACCUCUGCUUUGGGCAGGCCUUCUCCAAGACCAAGCCUAAGGAGUCCAAGCUCAUCCUGGUCAAGCUGGUGCCCAAGUUCUGCGAGUAUUACUACGAUCAGGUGCUGCAGGAGGGAGCCUCCUCCCUGGACAGCCACACCAUCAGCCUGCAGCUCUCCAACUCCUUUGACCUCAUGGAACUCAUUGAGCAGUACAACAUGCAGCUGGGCUGACCCCACCUUCCCCUCCCCAUGGCUCUGGCACAGGCAGCAGGACCCCUGGGCAUCCCAGGCUCUGCAAACCAGCAUCCCCCAACCCAAGGACAGCUUCACUGACCAGUCCUGGAGCUCACACAUUUGUGAAAAACCCUUUUCCCCUGUCAGCUUCUAGCGUGUGUUUUUGUGGAGAGUGGGUCUCCAUGGAGAUGCUCCUGAGCUGCUGGAGAGGUGGUGCUGCACCAGGAGCUGCAUGGGAAGAGAAGGAGAGAUGAGGUGGCAGUGAGAGGAACCCAGAAAAGCUGCAGGACUUGGGCUCUAUGGAGAUGGUCCUGGUCCCCAUUCUCACCUUGAACAUCAUUAUUAAAAAUGUAGGCUGGAGAA
This is an RNA transcript of Parus major (Great Tit), 1971 nucleotides long. It is a transcript of the gene named interferon regulatory factor 7, with no coding region annotated. The transcript has 12 exons. Lineage: Eukaryota; Metazoa; Chordata; Aves; Passeriformes; Paridae. The record is from RefSeq and is a predicted model, not a curated record.